RNAcentral lists this transfer RNA (55 nucleotides) under Dipodomys ordii (Ord's kangaroo rat). It matches the Rfam family "tRNA", at positions 9 to 62 of the family's 71-position model. From Rfam's summary of the family: Transfer RNA (tRNA) molecules are approximately 80 nucleotides in length. The record is from Rfam by way of RNAcentral. Lineage: Eukaryota; Metazoa; Chordata; Mammalia; Rodentia; Heteromyidae.
GGCUCAGUGGUAGAGUGCUUGCCUUGUAUGCAUGAGGCCGUGGGUUCGAUUCCUC